GGUUCUAUGCGCGUAGUGGUCAUCACAUCUUCUUUACAUGCAGAAAGUCCUGGGAUCGACCCCCAGUGGAACCA
RNAcentral lists this transfer RNA (74 nucleotides) under Ameiurus melas (black bullhead). Its description in RNAcentral is "tRNA-Val". Lineage: Eukaryota; Metazoa; Chordata; Actinopteri; Siluriformes; Ictaluridae. The record is from RNAcentral.